This 253-nucleotide ribosomal RNA is filed under the name uncultured bacterium. Its description in RNAcentral is "partial 16S ribosomal RNA". It matches the Rfam family "Bacterial small subunit ribosomal RNA", at positions 524 to 776 of the family's 1533-position model. The record is from RNAcentral. RNAcentral also lists the same sequence under 1 other name.
UACGAAGGGUGCAAACGUUGCUCGGAAUUAUUGGGCGUAAAGCGCACGUAGGCGGCUUAGUAAGUUGGAUGUGAAAUCCCUCGGCUUAACCAAGGAAGUGCAUCCAAAACUACUGAGCUUGAGUACUAAAGAGGAUCGCGGAAUUCCCGGUGUAGAGGUGAAAUUCGUAGAUAUCGGGAGGAACACCAGUGGCGAAGGCGGCGAUCUGGGUAGAUACUGACGCUGAGGUGCGAAAGCGUGGGGAGCAAACAGG